This 140-nucleotide ribosomal RNA is filed under the name Escherichia coli. RNAcentral's name for it is "partial 16S ribosomal RNA". It matches the Rfam family "Bacterial small subunit ribosomal RNA", at positions 1 to 132 of the family's 1533-position model. Lineage: Bacteria; Pseudomonadati; Pseudomonadota; Gammaproteobacteria; Enterobacterales; Enterobacteriaceae. The record is from RNAcentral.
UUAAAUUGAAGAGUUUGAUCAUGGCUCAGAUUGAACGCUGGCGGCAGGCCUAACACAUGCAAGUCGAACGGUAACAGGAAUCAGCUUGCUGAUUCGCUGACGAGUGGCGGACGGGUGAGUAAUGUCUGGGAAACUGCCUG